GAAUAUUGCGCAAUGGGCGAAAGCCUGACGCAGCGACGCCGCGUGGAGGAUGACGGUUUUCGGAUUGUAAACUCCUGUUAAGCGGGAAGAAAGACUUUUCCUUAAUACGGACAAGGGAUGACGGUACCGCUAGAGAAAACACCGGCUAACUUCGUGCCAGCAGCCGCGGUAAUACGAGGGGUGCAAGCGUUAUUCGGAAUCAUUGGGCGUAAAGGGUGCGUAGACGGCGUAGUAAGUUAGUUGUUAAAUUUCCCGGCCUAACCGGGAGCCUGCGAUUAAAACUACUAUGCUAGAGGAUAGGAGAGAGAAGUGGAAUUCUCGGAGUAGCGGUAAAAUGCGUAGAUAUCGAGAGGAACACCGAUGGCGAAGGCAGCUUCUUGGCCUAUUCCUGACGUUGAGGCACGAAAGCGUGGGGAGCAAACAGG
This 425-nucleotide ribosomal RNA is filed under the name uncultured bacterium. RNAcentral describes it as "bacterial SSU rRNA". It matches the Rfam family "Bacterial small subunit ribosomal RNA", at positions 359 to 776 of the family's 1533-position model. The record is from RNAcentral.